GCUCAAAGUUGGAACCUGGCUGCCCUAGGCAGUCCGGAUUGUAAACUAAAGAGCGUGAUUCCAGGCAAGCCGGUUGAUCAAGUCCUUUGGAAUGAGGCGCCACUGAGGGUGAGAGCCCCGUAAGUCGACUGAGCAUUUGUCUUUUGUGUUUCGCGUUCAAAGAGUCAGGUUGUUUGGGAAUGCAGCCUAAAGCUGCUGGUAAAUCCCACCUAAAGCUAAAUACAGGCGAGAGACCGAUAGCGAACAAGUACCGUGAGGGAAAGAUGAAAAGAACUUUGAAAAGAGAGUUAAACAGUAUGUGAAAUUGCCAAGAGGGAAGCAUUUGGAGUUAGAUUGACUAGGAGUUAAUCAGCUUGGUCUUUGGACUGGGUGUACUUGACUUCUAUUGGUCUGCCAAUAGCAGUUAGUCCUAGUGGAAAAAACUAGAGGGAAGGUAGUCCUUCGGGAUGUUUAUAGACCUUUGGAAAAUACACUGGGAUUGACUGAGGAAUGCAGUAGAUGCCACUAAGGCUUCGUCUAGUGGGUGCUAGGCAAAGGUACUUGGUAUUUUCAGCUUGCUGAUGUGCUAGGUUACCCGAGUCUAGUCGCCUACUAGAACUGU
Molecule: ribosomal RNA, 601 nt
Filed under: Lichtheimia ramosa
Lineage: Eukaryota; Fungi; Mucoromycota; Mucoromycetes; Mucorales; Lichtheimiaceae
Description: eukaryotic LSU rRNA
Rfam family: Eukaryotic large subunit ribosomal RNA
Source: RNAcentral